GAUGAACGCUGGCGGCGUGCCUAAUACAUGCAAGUCGAGCGAACAGACGAGGAGCUUGCUCCUUCGACGUUAGCGGCGGACGGGUGAGUAACACGUAGGUAACCUACCUAUAAGACUGGGAUAACUUCGGGAAACCGGAGCUAAUACCGGAUAAUAUUUCGAACCGCAUGGUUCGAUAGUGAAAGAUGGCUUUGCUAUCACUUAUAGAUGGACCUGCGCCGUAUUAGCUAGUUGGUAAGGUAACGGCUUACCAAGGCAACGAUACGUAGCCGACCUGAGAGGGUGAUCGGCCACACUGGAACUGAGACACGGUCCAGACUCCUACGGGAGGCAGCAGUAGGGAAUCUUCCGCAAAGGGCGAAAGCCUGACGGAGCAACGCCGCGUGAGUGAUGAAGGUCUUCGGAUCGUAAAACUCUGUUAUUAGGGAAGAACAAACGUGUAAGUAACUGUGCACGUCUUGACGGUACCUAAUCAGAAAGCCACGGCCAACUACGUG
RNAcentral lists this ribosomal RNA (497 nucleotides) under uncultured bacterium. RNAcentral describes it as "partial 16S ribosomal RNA". It matches the Rfam family "Bacterial small subunit ribosomal RNA", at positions 28 to 507 of the family's 1533-position model. The record is from RNAcentral.